GCCAGGUUGGCGCUAGUGACCGCUAGCUAGCUUCGGGUAUCGGUACAGAGAGUGGGCUGGCGGAGGAGUGAGUGAGGAGUUGGGGCUGAGAGGAGGGGGUAGAGCCCUCGACCGUCGAAUAAGGGGACGCACGAUGGGGCAGAGGCCCACUGGCGAGGGAGCGGCGCAGAUGAGAGAUGGGGGUGGAGCCCGGCUGACGGGAGACAGACUGCGGUUAAGUCGGGAGGGAGAAGGCAGCACUGACUUGCUAGGGUGUGGGAAAGGAUCAGGUUGUAAUUUGGGAAGGUUGAGGUGCAGUCCAAGGAAGACGGCUCAAGAAAGUGGUGGAUCGGCUCAGGCCCCGGCCUAGGCUGUUGGAUGGCCGUUGUCGGAUGCCGACAGAACAGAGGGAGGAGAAGCAGCUUGAGGCAUCAUUAGAUGCACUGCUGAGUCAAGUGGCUGAUCUGAAGAAUUCGCUGGGGAGUUUCAUUUACAAGUUGGAGAAUGAAUAUGACCGGCUGACCUGGCCAUCUGUCCUGGACAGCUUUGCCUUGCUCUCUGGACAGUUGAACACUCUGAACAAGGUCUUGAAGCAUGAAAAGACACCACUGUUCCGUAACCAGGUCAUCAUCCCUCUGGUGUUGUCCCCAGACCGAGAUGAAGAUCUCAUGAGGCAGACUGAAGGACGGGUACCUGUUUUUAGCCAUGAGGUGGUCCCUGACCAUCUGAGAACCAAGCCUGACCCUGAGGUAGAAGAGCAAGAGAAGCAGCUGACAACAGAUGCUGCCCGCAUUGGUGCUGAUGCAGCUCAGAAGCAGAUCCAGAGCUUGAAUAAAAUGUGCUCAAACCUUCUGGAGAAAAUCAGCAAAGAGGAACGAGAAGCGGAGAGUGGAGGUCUCCGGCCGAACAAGCAGACCUUUAACCCAGCAGACACCAAUGCGUUAGUGGCAGCUGUUGCCUUUGGGAAGGGGCUGUCUAAUUGGAGGCCUUCAGGCAGCAGUGGUCCUGGCCAGCCGGGCCAGCCAGGAGCUGGGACAAUCCUCGCAGGAGCCUCAGGAUUACAGCAGGUGCAGAUGGCAGGAGCUCCGAGUCAGCAGCAGCCAAUGCUCAGUGGGGUGCAGAUGGCCCAAGCAGGUCAACCAGGGAAAAUGCCAAGUGGAAUAAAAACCAACAUCAAGUCGGCUUCCAUGCAUCCCUACCAGCGCUCAUGAGUCACUCCUCUGUGAAGCUUUCCAACAACCCAGUCUGUCUACAACCCAGUGCCACUCCCACCAGGUUCAAGCACCCUGAAGUGCCAAGGUUUGAAUCCAGUUCUUCUGUCUGGGAGCCAUAUGAUCUUUGGCAAGGAAUGUGCAUGCCUGGCGUCCUACGGCAUCUGGACCAUCAUAAACACGUUAAGUGUAGUUGCUGCUAUCAUUAUUAUUAUUAGGUUGACUUUGGAGAGAGAGUAUAAUGUAGCAUUUUGGUUAAAAGAGCAGUUUCUAGUGCCAGACUGCCUGGGUUCAAAUUCUAGCCGUGCCACCGACGAGCUGUGUGGCCUUAGGCAAGUUGAUUUACCUCUCUGUGCCUCAGUUUCCUUAUUUUGGGGGAUGCUGUGAAGUUUAAAUACAUUAGUAUAUACAAAGUGCUUAGAAUAGUGUGCCUGACAAUAGUAGAAGCUCAAAUAUUAACUGUCUUCAGGGUAGUGUCUAGAAGUCUGCUGUCGGUAGUUGUUGCUUAAAUCAAUGAUUGACCAGUCCCUCUAUGAGGAGGUAACUCUUCUUCCCUCUGCAGCUCAUCUGUGCAUACAGCUAUGCUCACGUGUCAGGAGAGACCCUCUGGGCACGUUUCAUCCCCCACAAUGUGCAGAACAGGCACUGGAACAUUUUUAUAUUGGUUUGCCUGAUGUGAUAAGUCAUUUUCAAAUCUAGUUGUGUGAACUUUCUCGCACUUAGUUGUCACCUACACUCUUCUAUUAAAGCCCAGUUUGAUCUCUUAAAUUGUGUGAUUUUGAUUUGAGAUCAGAUGACAAGCUCCCUCACUGGCAGUGUUCCUUUUCCUCCCUUCUAAACUGUGUCUGUUCCCUGUCCACACCAGCUGAAGACUCAGUUCCACAGUCUGCCUACAUCCCAUCUCUAAAGGAGGCCCUUCACCACUCAGAGGUCUCUCUGUGCAGCUGGGAUGUGUUCUCUCCUCUGUCUGUGCUUACUCAAUCCGGGCUCAGGUCUUCACGGGUGGCUGUGUGAUUCACUGGGCAUCACAAACCAGAGCUCCAUGCUUGCCUCUUCCUCACACUCACCACCAGUGCUUUAGGCCUUGUUUUGCCAUGGCAACGUCCUGGUUCUUGCCACUACUCUAAGCUAUCGGCAACACCUGCAGGUCAGGUGCUGUCUCACACCUCCAUACCUAACACAUGCUCUGCCCUCUCAGUAUGUCUGCCCUCUUUUUUUCCUGCUCCAAACCCCUGUUCACCUAGUGAACAAUUCAUCCUCCCAGUGGCACCUACUUCUGUAAAGUCUUUACCACCUCCUCCCCUGUACACUUGACCAUUCUUAAAUUACACCUGACCUGGACACUUAUCCAUUGUGUGACCUUAGGCAAGUUACUUCACUUCCAAGAACCUCAAUCUCUACCUCUGUAAAAUGGGAUUAUAGCACCAACCUCAGAAAGGUACCUUCCACCGAGCAUAUUUAAGAUUCAAUUUAAACCUUUAAAUAGCUCUUAAUUUUCUACAGGAUAAAGUCCAAGCUUCUUAGAAAAGCACACAAGGGCCUCCAGGCAUAUAGUUAGCACUGAAAUGCUAAUACUAUUCUUCUCCUACUCUCUCCUGAGCAGUCUCGUUUUUAUCACAUGGUAUAUUUGAUUGCAACAUAUUACAAUUAAACUAGCUUAACUGAAAAAGAGAGAGAGAGGGAGAGACCCAACUGGAUUUGGGUUAUGCGGAUGUGGAGUUGAAGGGUGGCCAGCUCCAGGUGGGUCAGGGGCUCCAGUGUCAUCUAGGCUCUCUGUCUCUGCGUUUCUCCACUCUACCGCAUAUAGCUCAUCCCAUGAAAGAACUCUGAUUGUUGCUGCUUGGAUUCUGUACCAUUAGGAGCAUUGGGGGAAGUGGAGAGAACACCAUGAUUAAAAGGCCAGUGGAGCAGGACAGGAGUUCCUUAAAGGAGAUGAAAGCAGGGGGAUGGGACAGUAUCUGUAUACGACCAGACCUACAGCUACUACAGUCCACUUUGUGUGGUUUCAUCUCUACAGACAAUCCGCAGAUAUUUUUCCCCCCGAACCCCAUCCUUUCUCCUAAGCUUACAGUACUGUGUUUCAGAUUGCCUGGGGAAUGUGCCAUCCUUCCUCAAACUCCGGAUGUCCCAAACUGCAUUCACUUCCUCCAUCCUGCUCCACCUGCAUUAUCCAGCGUGCCAACCUUGCUGUCAGUUCUGGGUCCUCUCUCUGCUCUAUCCCCUCUUCUUCCUUCUCACUCCGUUGCUCUAGGUUAGGCCCUCACUCUGUCACACCUGUGCCUCUGAGCUGGUCUCCCACCUGCUCUCCCUUCCUCUGCUUUCCUCUUGAUAAUCUCACUCUCACCAGGUUUUUCGUUAUCAAUAACAAUGGGGAUCAUACCAACCCCUUAAAAAUCUUCAGGGACAUCCCAGUACAAAUAAAACUCCUCAGUCUUUCAUUUAAAACACUUCAUGAUUUGGGGCCAACCUCCUUUUUAACCUAGCAUAUGAAGGCCUUUCACUCACCAUAUCCUUUAGCCAAACAGAAUCACUUGCAAUUCUCUACUCCCGUCCUGUGCUUCCCUCCAUUCAUCCCUUUGUCCACACUUUUUCCUCAGCUUGGAACAUCUAUGUUGCUUCCACCUCACUUGCUGUGUGACCUUGAGAAAAUCCUUCACCCUUUCUGAUUUUGUUUUUUUUUCCAUCUGUUAAGCAGUGAUCAUAGUACUUACCUUACAGGUAAGUACUUACAGGUAAGUACUUACAGGUAAGUAUUUACCUUACAGGACUGAACCAUAAGAGCAUAUGGAAAGCAGCUGGCCCUACACUUGCCAGAGAAAGUAUUGAACAGUAAGCUGCGUUUCCUCUUUUCCCCUUUUGGCCCUUCUCCCACAUCUUCCAGAUCUUGCUAACUCUCUUUCUUCCACCUUGAUAACCUCCCCUGGAUUGUCCCCUCACCAAAGCCUUCCCUUUUCUCUUUCCAGAGCUCUUCCUGCACAUUCUAUCGCAGCCCUCUCCCCCAAGCUGAGUUUCUUUACUUCAGUUCAGUGAACACUGAAUGAUACCCAUAAUGCGUUGGCAUUGGCUACCUACAAUGGAUCAGACCUUGCCCCUGACCUCUCAAGGGUCCAGGCAAUCCCCAAAUUCCAGAUGGUGUGAUGACUGUUUGCAUGCAGCCUCUCUCUUCUGCUGGCCGGAUAUCUUUCCUUCAGCCAAGGUCCCAGCCUUAGGCAGAGGACACUAGUGAGCUAAGGCCCAGGGACGUGCAGAAUGAUUAAUUGAUGAGCCCUUCACCCUCGUCUUCACUCCACUGUCCUCACGGACUCAGCCCUCUGCUCAGCUCCUCUGUGUGGAUACUGUGUAGAAAGCGCCCUUUGCCCUUUACAGGAUGGGGAAGGGAGAAGCUUGACACAGGCCCUGGGAGGCUGCUUCCCUUCCUAUCUGCCACUCCUGCUGUCUCUCAGCCUCGACCCUCAGUGCCUGUUGUUCUCAGCCAGUUCCCCUGUGUCUCCCAUGCCCUGUUCCCUCCACGGCUUCACCUGCUCCCUCCCUCACCCACUCAUGCACAUACAGGCAUACCUUUUCCCAUUUUUUCCUGCUUCUGUGAUCCCAUUUACCUUUAGUUUUUCUGCAGAAACAUAUAAAGCUGCAUAAUCGGGGAAACAGAGUUGUUAACGUUCACGCAGAUGGUGGUUUUCAGGCUGAACAUUGGAGACGGUAAAUCAGUAGUUUGUCUUCUGGGGAAAGAGGAUGGAGAAAGGCCCCUCAGAGAGCCGUGAGUAAGAUGUGAGUCAGAGAGAACGGGGCCAAGGGGACGUUGUCACAUCACUUCCCGUUAGUCAGGAAGGCGCCAGGUAUUUCAGGGGGAGUUUCAGCUGUUGGACUGCCUAUUAUUCCCUACCCACACGAACACCUGGCCUUUAUCCUUAUCAAGACAGUUCCUGGACCCCUUCAGCUUCUCCAGUUCAUCAGCCUGCCCCUGGUGUAGGUACCCUUCUGCGGACCCUCUUACCUCCAAGGCCUUCAUCCUAGCUUCUCUGCAGGUCCCAAAUGGUCCCAUUUCCUCCCAGUCCACUGACAAGGUUAUCCUUCUUUUCUAUGUAUUUCAGACUGGGAGGGGUUCUCUUAAGCCAAAGGCUAACCCGUCCAUGUGCGCUGGAUCUCACUGCCUUCCAUACAGCACAUAAACACGCUCAAGCCCCUUCCCAUUAAAAACAACCCUUAGAAUCAAUCUGGAGGUGAGAGCGAGGCACUGAUAUUUUUAAAACUUCCCAGGUGGUUCUAGUGUGUAGCCAGGGCUGAAAAAGAUAAACAAUUAAAAUCCAAACUUCUUACCAAGCGAGGCAUACAUGGCUCUUCAUAACUGACUCUUGCUGACAUUUCCCCCUUAGCUAUACGACCUUUGGGCUGGAGCCACACCAAACUACCCAGAGCUCCCUAAACCUGCCACAUCUCCUGCUUCUAUGCCUUCACACACAUGCUUCCCUCUGCCUGGAAUACGUUCCCCUGCCUUCUAGAAAGCGUCCUUUAAUGCUCAGCUUUGGUGUCAUUUCUUUGAAGGCUUCAAGAACUAAUCCCCACCUUGGGGUAAGGUGCCCCCCUUGGUGCUCUCUUAACUCUCUGGGUUUAUCUCUGUGGGAAUGCCCCCCACACGCUUCUGUAAUUGUUAAUUUAUACGUCUGUCUUCUCGUCUAGACUGUGAGUAUUUUGCAGUAACCCCAGGGCCAUGGAGAUACCAUUUGGUAGGACCUCGGGUGGUCUAUAGGUGGUCUAUAUCAGAUAUUUGAAGACGCUUUCUCCUAGGACUAGGACAGGAACUGAAGGAAGUGAGUCUUUGGGCAUGUUCAUUCAUGUAGUCAGUGGGCAUUUACUGAGGGAUUGCUGUGGUCAUUUACCCGCGUGGUCCAGGUGAGUAAUGGAUAGUUGAAGUUCUCUAUCUCUAACGGACCUCUGGAACUGUUUCAUCAUUUAUAAUAGUCGACUUUGUUCAUCUCUAGAUGGACACUUAGUCCAAAGCCCCUCAAUAGUGCUCUCUGAACAGUGCUUUGCACACAGUAAGCAUUUAGGAAAUGUUUGUUAAAUGAAUGCUUAUGAAUCUACAUACAAGUAUAUACCUUCUUGCUUCCCCCCUUGUCUAUGAUAUGUCAAGAUAGAAGCCAUGCUGAGCACUUUACCUGGGUCAUCUCCUUUAAUCUUCACAACAAUCAUAUGAGACAGGUACCGUUGUUCACAUUUUAUGGAGGUUCAGCCACUUACAUUAAGUCAUAUAGGUACUAAGUGGAAGAUUUAAAUUCAGGCCUUUGGAGUUAGGUGUGACCCCAAAGCCACUGAAGUAUACCUAACACAGUAAAUAUUUAUUGACUCAACAGAUAGUACCACCCCAAGGGAAGUAGAAAGUCUUUUGAAUUCUUAAUGUUUUCCCCACUUGACUCUGGGUCCCUUGACCUCUCUUCCACUUCACACAUUUCUCAUUCACUCUAAUAUUCCACAAACAUCGUGGAGGGUCAAGUGAGUCUGACAUUAGGCCAGAUGCUAGAGGUACAGAGACAACUAAAACAUAGUGAGGGGGCACGCAGAUAACUGCAUUGCAGGGAGAUUGUGGAAGCGAAGGCAGGGACUGAUUUAUUGCCUGGGAGAGCGGCUUGUAUCUUGUAUUGAGUUAGGAGACAAGGCUUGGAGGGGUGGGGGGAUAUGAAAGACGCUGAUAUCCUUGGGGAACAGUUGAAGCAUAGGACGUGGCCCAGGAGAAUAGCACUGGUAGAAUGGGAGGCUGAGGGCCAGAUCAGGUAGCCCGUCGUGUACCAUGCUAAGAAGUUUGAGCCUUUUGAAUAGUUGAAUUCUUUUGCCAUUUCCUUUCAAGCAUAGGUACUAAUGGGCUAGAUCAUAGCUGUACUUUGGCUCUGACCUCUUAACUCUGAGACUAAACUUCCACAUAGCUAGAUCCCACCACCGAGGAACACAUUAUUUCUUCCAAACCACCACCUCCUCUGAAUUCCACGUGUACAUCAUAUAAUCCUGUAUGCAGUUAUUAGCACUGUUUCAGGCGCUGCUGGAGAUACAGAUUUCAUUUCGCAGAAACCUAGUCCUCACCCCCAGUAGUUCAGUCUACUUGGUGAGUGUGUGGGUGAGGGAAGGGAGAGCGCACGGAGCCAGACCACACAGCUAAGUGUACAGAGAGGGCCCAGCUGUCUUGGGGAAAUCUCCAGUGUCUGCUUCUCCAAUCCCGUCAGUUUCCAAACCUUCUUAGGUCAGGGUGCUCUCUCACCUGGUCUCCCCGCCAGUACCCUCAUCUCACUGGAUGCCAGAGCAAAGUGAUUGGGCUAGGCAGUAAACCCCAUGCAGGGACGGCACCUGCCUCGUUCAUUGAUGUUCCACCAGCACUUAACCCCGUACGUGGUCGAAAAAUAUGAGAUGAAUAUUUAACAAUACAGGUCUGAUUGUAGCCUCCUCAACUCUUCAGUUUCUCCUCUGCUUCCAGAAGAAACCAAACCGCUCCAUGUGGCCUUCAAGACCACUACAUUCAGCCACAGCGGGCGUCGCUUCCCUCCUUUUCCUUCACUGCCUUGAAGGCCAGUGUAGCCAGUGAUUCACUAACUGUUGCUGCCCCAGGCUACUUGCAUUCGCCCACCUCCAGUCCACACAAUCCUUUCAACAACUCCUAACGCUAGGCUCAUCCAGGCUUAUGGGCUGGUAGGGAAGGCUUCCCCGCGCAGCCUCUCCCUCGGGCUGAGACCUCCCCGCUGCCCAAGUCCGCUCUCCGCACACACACAGGCUGCCUGCAGCCCACCCCUCCGGUCCCACCCUCUAGACAGGGAGCUCUUUGCGGGGAGGGCUGACCCUGGAACUUUUCCCAGGGUCCCAGGCCGGGUGGACCGGCCGCGAAAGAAGCUGUGUUGGUCUUGUUGGUGGAUAAACCCCCAGAGGGCCCAGAAUGAGGCCAUGCGCAGGCUGAACGUCAGGAAGGCGCAGGGUGCAACUGGGGCGGGCCGGGGCCAGGCCGCGCGAGCUGACGGAGAUGGGAGGCGAUGCGGCGGGAAGGGGUAGGGAGCAGGGGCUGGGCGUGCUUCCUGCCCGGGGCCCGG
Molecule: RNA transcript, 8251 nt
Organism: Delphinapterus leucas (beluga whale)
Lineage: Eukaryota; Metazoa; Chordata; Mammalia; Artiodactyla; Monodontidae
Gene: MED8
Gene name: mediator complex subunit 8
Source: RefSeq, a predicted model, not a curated record